CUGAAGGAAAUUUCCUUUCGAAUGAAAAGUAUGUCCAGUACUGCCAUGAUGGAGAAUGGCAUUGGCUGUGUACUGGUGGUGAAAGCUGGACGAGAGUGGAGGCCAAUGUUGUGUGUAGACAACUGGGACUCAGCGACCAAGGAGCUAACAUAGGAGGUGCCAUGGUAUAACGCUAACAGCAGCUGAUCAAUCACUAGCCUACUUUAUGUUUGGUGGCAGAUGUACUGGAGAGGAAAGUAACAUAGGAGAGUGCAAUAAUUCAUACCAGUACAUGUAGUAAGAGUGCAGGAUGGGUAAGAUGUCAACCAGGUAAGAGCAUUUAUUUAACUUUUGCAAAUCAAAGUUAAUACUGCAUGAGGUAAUUAUACAGCCAACUGUAACGGUGGAGACAUAAGACUGGUGGGUGGUAUCACUAAUAGAGAGGGACGAGUGGACGUCUGUAUGCAGGGAUAUUGGGCAUCCAUCUGUUACAAUGAAGUGCUGACAGGCACUGUAUGCAAAAUGUUAGGAUUUCCAAUCGAAGGAGCAAUGGCAAAUAGUACUAACUCUUCUAUUGAUCCAAAAGUCGACUGUACAGUGACAGAUGAUGGCACCACCCUGAACUGUGGAGACACUAUACAGCCGCACAUAUGUGAUAUGGCAAGCUUAGUCAUCACAUGCCAAACUCACAACUAUGCUUUACGGAAUAAAACCACUGGAAGUAAUUCAACCAGUGCACUAGGAGCAGUGAUUGGGACUCUUGUAUUACUGGAAAUAGGGACAGUUAUUGCGUGGGUGGCUUGUACUGUCACAAGGAAAAGGCACUCAAGUCCACCAAAACAAAGCUCUAUUAAAAGUAAAUGAGAGCUACACUGACACAGCUCUAAUAGAACCAAGCUACAGUUCACUAGGUCCUAACUACAAUACUGUGACCACAAGCGAUGAAGGAAUUGGUGACUAUGAUGUCAUUGAUCAUAACAAACAGAAACCGAAACCAUCCAACCCACCACCAGUGAAGGUUGAGGCCAGUAAAAGUGAGGAUGAGUUCUACAAUACAGAGGAGCAUAUGUACGCAGCUGUCAAUAAGGAGAAAAAGACUAAUGCUGAAGGAGAAUAAACCACAAUCCACAAAAGUUGUUGAAGUUAUUCCACAUUGUUCAAAUCCAAAUUG
Molecule: long non-coding RNA, 1150 nt
Organism: Halichondria panicea
Lineage: Eukaryota; Metazoa; Porifera; Demospongiae; Suberitida; Halichondriidae
Exons: 4
Source: RefSeq, a predicted model, not a curated record